CUCAGUUCGGAUUGGAGUCUGCAACCCGACUCCAUGAAGCUGGAUUCGCUAGUAAUCGCGCAUCAGCCACGGCGCGGUGAAUACGUUCCCGGGCCUUGUACACACCGCCCGUCAAGCCAUGGAAGCCGGGAGUGCCUGAAGUACGCGACCGCAAGGAGCGUCCUAAGGUAAAACCGGUAACUGGGGCUAAGUCGUAACAAGGUACC
Molecule: ribosomal RNA, 206 nt
Filed under: uncultured bacterium
Lineage: Bacteria
Description: partial 16S ribosomal RNA
Rfam family: Bacterial small subunit ribosomal RNA
Source: RNAcentral